UGGGGAAUUUUCCGCAAUGGGCGAAAGCCUGACGGAGCAACGCCGCGUGAGGGACGAAGGCCUCUGGGCUGUAAACCUCUUUUCUCAAGGAAGAAGAUCUGACGGUACUUGAGGAAUAAGCCACGGCUAAUUCCGUGCCAGCAGCCGCGGUAAUACGGGAGUGGCAAGCGUUAUCCGGAAUUAUUGGGCGUAAAGCGUCCGCAGGCGGUCUUGUAAGUCUGUCGUUAAAGCGUGGAGCUUAACUCCAUUUAAGCGAUGGAAACUGCAAGACUAGAGUGUGGUAGGGGCAGAGGGAAUUCCCGGUGUAGCGGUGAAAUGCGUAGAUAUCGGGAAGAACACCAGUGGCGAAGGCGCUCUGCUGGGCCAUAACUGACGCCCAUGGACGAAAGCCAGGGGAGCGAAAGGGAUUAGAUACCCCUGUAGUC
RNAcentral lists this ribosomal RNA (425 nucleotides) under uncultured cyanobacterium. Its description in RNAcentral is "bacterial SSU rRNA". It matches the Rfam family "Bacterial small subunit ribosomal RNA", at positions 355 to 795 of the family's 1533-position model. The record is from RNAcentral. Lineage: Bacteria; Bacillati; Cyanobacteriota.